GACGAACGCUGGCGGCGUGCCUAAUACAUGCAAGUCGAACGCAGUGGGGACGGGUGAGUAACACGUGGGUAACCUCCCAUCAGAGGGGAUAACACUUGGAAACAGGUGCUAAACCGAUAUUGAUGGAUGGACCCGCGGUGCAUUAGCUAGUUGGUGAGGUAACGGCUCACCAAGGCCACGAUCCUUCGCUGGUUUGAGCGAAGGACCAGCCACACUGGGACUGAGACACGUCCCAGACUCCUACGGGAGGCAGCAGUGGGGAAUUUUGGCCAAGGGGGGAAACCCUGAACCAGCCAUCCCGCGUGUGCGAUGAAGGCCUUCGGGUUGUAAAGCACUUUUGGCAGGAAAGCGGUACCUGCAGAAUAAGCACCGGCUAACUACGUGCCAGCAGCCGCGUAAUAC
This 402-nucleotide ribosomal RNA is filed under the name uncultured bacterium. RNAcentral describes it as "partial 16S ribosomal RNA". It matches the Rfam family "Bacterial small subunit ribosomal RNA", at positions 28 to 526 of the family's 1533-position model. The record is from RNAcentral.